RNAcentral lists this ribosomal RNA (150 nucleotides) under Parazoanthus darwini. RNAcentral's name for it is "partial 28S ribosomal RNA". The stretch from base 47 to 150 matches the Rfam family "Eukaryotic large subunit ribosomal RNA", at positions 1 to 104 of the family's 3401-position model. The record is from RNAcentral. Lineage: Eukaryota; Metazoa; Cnidaria; Anthozoa; Zoantharia; Parazoanthidae.
UUGCGUCYGACAGAGUCGUCAAAGGCGAGAGAAAACACCAACAUCUUGACCUCAGAUCAGGCAAGGCUACCCGCUGAAUUUAAGCAUAUCAAUAAGCGGAGGAAAAGAAACUAACAAGGAUUCCCCCAGUAACGGCGAGUGAAGCGGGAA